RNAcentral lists this non-coding RNA (28 nucleotides) under Homo sapiens (human). The record is from RNAcentral. Lineage: Eukaryota; Metazoa; Chordata; Mammalia; Primates; Hominidae.
UCCCACCCCCAAGGAGGCAGACUACAGA